Molecule: long non-coding RNA, 253 nt
Filed under: Ixodes scapularis (black-legged tick)
Lineage: Eukaryota; Metazoa; Arthropoda; Arachnida; Ixodida; Ixodidae
Description: uncharacterized LOC120843618
Source: RNAcentral
GCGACACCCCCACCGUGCGGCGUAGACCCCAUAGAGGCUUCAGCCCCAUCAUGCGGUGCAGCCUCCAGCUUCCGGCCCAAAGAACCCUCAACCGCUGCCCAUGACUCCAUGGAAGUGACACCCCCAGCGUGCAGCGUAGACCCCACGGAGGCUUCAGCCCCAUCAUGCGGUGCAGCCUGCAGCUUCCGGCCCGAAGAACCCUCAACCGCUGCCCAUGACUCCAUGGGACCGACAACCCAACCGUGCGGCGCAG